This 292-nucleotide ribosomal RNA is filed under the name uncultured bacterium. RNAcentral's name for it is "partial 16S ribosomal RNA". The record is from RNAcentral.
GGACUACUGGGGUUUCUAAUCCCGUUCGCUCCCCUCGCUUUCGCCUCUCAGCGUCAGGUACCCUCCAGGACACUGCCUUCGCCUUUGGUAUUCCUCCGGAUAUCUACGCAUUUCACCACUACACCCGGAAUUCUGUGUCCCUCUCUGGCCCUCAAGUCAUCCCGUUUUCAAGACCCUCUCCCGGUUAAGCCGGAAGCUGUCACCUCAAACCUCGAUGACCGCCUACUUGCCCUUUACGCCCAGUAACUCCGGACAACGCUCGCCCCCUACGUAUUACCGCGGCUGCUGGCAC